AUACGGAGGAUGCGAGCGUUAUCCGGAUUUAUUGGGUUUAAAGGGAGCGUAGGUGGGAUAUUAAGUCAGCUGUGAAAGUUUGGGGCUCAACCUUAAAAUUGCAGUUGAUACUGGUUUCCUUGAGUACGGUAUAGGUGGGCGGAAUUCGUGGUGUAGCGGUGAAAUGCUUAGAUAUCACGAAGAACUCCGAUCGCGAAGGCAGCUCACCGGGCCGCAACUGACACUGAUGCUCGAAAGUGCGGGUAUCAAACAGGAUUAGAUACCCUGGUAGUCCGCACAGUAAACGAUGAAUACUCGCUGUUUGCGAUACACUGUAAGCGGCCGAGCGAAAGCGUUAAGUAUUCCACCUGGGGAGUACGCCGGCAACGGUGAAACUCAAAUGAAUUGACGGGG
Molecule: ribosomal RNA, 393 nt
Filed under: uncultured bacterium
Lineage: Bacteria
Description: partial 16S ribosomal RNA
Rfam family: Bacterial small subunit ribosomal RNA
Source: RNAcentral